CUUUUGAAUUAGGCUCUGAGACGCGCACACACCGCCCGUCACUCUCCCCCCGCACAUAUUUCAAACAUUCCUAAUAAUAUACCAGUCACCACGGGGAGGCAAGUCGUAACAUGGUAAGUGUACCGGAAGGUGCACUUGGACUAA
This 144-nucleotide ribosomal RNA is filed under the name Trachelyopterus (Parauchenipterus) sp. RNAcentral describes it as "partial 12S ribosomal RNA". Lineage: Eukaryota; Metazoa; Chordata; Actinopteri; Siluriformes; Auchenipteridae. The record is from RNAcentral.